This 254-nucleotide long non-coding RNA is filed under the name Olea europaea (common olive). RNAcentral describes it as "long non-coding RNA (OEUR_LNC011724)". Lineage: Eukaryota; Viridiplantae; Streptophyta; Magnoliopsida; Lamiales; Oleaceae. The record is from RNAcentral.
CCACUCGAUCGUCGUCAUCGCCACCAACACCACAUGCACGACAACAGUUUGCAACCACCACUGUCGACCAUGCCAGAUUCAUCAUCAUACCACCUUUCCAACACCAAAGUUCACCACUAACAUCGCUGCAAGCAAAAAACACCUAAAAGCCAACAAAAUCAUAUUGUCUCCGCCAACACUACCACCAUAUGAACUGCUUCCCCAGUGCCACCAUCACCGUCAAUAACUCACCACAACCAUCGACACUACCACCA